This 109-nucleotide ribosomal RNA is filed under the name Agaricus bisporus (cultivated mushroom). RNAcentral describes it as "partial 5.8S ribosomal RNA". It matches the Rfam family "5.8S ribosomal RNA", at positions 1 to 107 of the family's 154-position model. From Rfam's summary of the family: 5.8S ribosomal RNA (5.8S rRNA) is a component of the large subunit of the eukaryotic ribosome. It is transcribed by RNA polymerase I as part of the 45S precursor that also contains 18S and 28S rRNA. Lineage: Eukaryota; Fungi; Basidiomycota; Agaricomycetes; Agaricales; Agaricaceae. The record is from RNAcentral.
UACAACUUUCAGCAACGGAUCUCUUGGCUCUCGCAUCGAUGAAGAACGCAGCGAAAUGCGAUAAGUAAUGUGAAUUGCAGAAUUCAGUGAAUCAUCGAAUCUUGAACGC